CCUCUUUUUUUUUUUUUUUACAGCAGAUCGGAUCCUUCGAAGCAUCCACCGAUUCAUUUUCAGCCAGUUUUUUUCUUUAGUAUCGAUCAAACAUGAGCUUCCUCUUUGGCAAGAGAAAAACUCCCGCAGAGCUUCUGCGGGAAAAUAAGAGGAUGUUGGAGAAACCUAUCAGAGAGAUAGAAAUUGAUUGAAGAGGAAACCAAAUAACUUGUGAACCAAGUUCUUGAUGAGAUUGGAAUUGAUAUCAAUCAAGAGCUCGUCAAUGCACCAUCAUCUGCUGUUGCGGCACCAGCUUCAAAGGGCAAGGUUGCUGCGCAGGCAGAACCAACUGGGAACGAUGACGGUGGGAUAGAUAGCGACUUACAGGCAAGGCUAGACAAUUUGAUAAGGAUGUAGUAAGUAUGCCUUAUUUCUCUUUUGU
This is a long non-coding RNA of Hibiscus syriacus, 421 nucleotides long. RefSeq lists it as uncharacterized. The transcript has 3 exons. The record is from RefSeq and is a predicted model, not a curated record. NCBI's taxonomy places the organism in Eukaryota, Viridiplantae, Streptophyta, Magnoliopsida, Malvales, Malvaceae.